This 409-nucleotide ribosomal RNA is filed under the name uncultured Nitrosomonadaceae bacterium. RNAcentral describes it as "bacterial SSU rRNA". It matches the Rfam family "Bacterial small subunit ribosomal RNA", at positions 974 to 1382 of the family's 1533-position model. The record is from RNAcentral. Lineage: Bacteria; Pseudomonadati; Pseudomonadota; Betaproteobacteria; Nitrosomonadales; Nitrosomonadaceae.
CCUACCCUUGACAUGCCAGGAACUUGCCAGAGAUGGCUUGGUGCUCGAAAGAGAACCUGGACACAGGUGCUGCAUGGCUGUCGUCAGCUCGUGUCGUGAGAUGUUGGGUUAAGUCCCGCAACGAGCGCAACCCUUGUCAUUAGUUGCCACCAUUCAGUUGGGCACUCUAAUGAGACUGCCGGUGACAAACCGGAGGAAGGUGGGGAUGACGUCAAGUCCUCAUGGCCCUUAUGGGUAGGGCUUCACACGUCAUACAAUGGUCGGUACAGAGGGUUGCCAACCCGCGAGGGGGAGCCAAUCCCACAAAGCCGAUCGUAGUCCGGAUUGGAGUCUGCAACUCGACUCCAUGAAGUCGGAAUCGCUAGUAAUCGUGGAUCAGCAUGUCACGGUGAAUACGUUCCCGGGUCUU